This is a long non-coding RNA of Pangasianodon hypophthalmus (striped catfish), 2166 nucleotides long. RefSeq lists it as uncharacterized. The transcript is spliced from 2 exons. NCBI's taxonomy places the organism in Eukaryota, Metazoa, Chordata, Actinopteri, Siluriformes, Pangasiidae. The record is from RefSeq and is a predicted model, not a curated record.
UGUACUGCGCAUGUGUGGCAUUUCACGACAUUACAGCACAUUUUGUGAUAUUUAGGAAUAACUUGUACACCGUAUGUAGAAGUAUGUAACUUCUGUUAUUUACAGCAUCAGUUACCACAGCAUCAUUUUGGAGAAAUUUCUGUUCACUCUUCUUUACAACAUUGCUUCAGUUCAUUGAUAUUUAAGGGCAUUCUUUUAUGUACAGCUCUCUUAAUAUCCUGCCACAGCAUCUCAAUGGGGUUGAGGUCUGGACUUUGACUUGGUCAUUCCAACACCUUGGUUUUUGUCUUCUUUAGCCAUUCAGAUGUCGAUUUGCUGGUGUGCUUGGGAUCAUUGUCUUGUUGGAUGACCAAAUCUUGGGCCCAGCUUAAGCUGUUUGACAGAUGGCUUCACAUUUGUCUCAAGAAUAUUCUAGUAUAAAGUGGAGUUCAUUGUUGUUUCAGUGACUGCAAGUUUCCCAGGUCCUGUGGCUGUGGUUCAUGACCCCUCCACCAAGAUUCAUGACAGUUAAUCUGAGGUGUUUGUUGUGAUAUGCUGUACAUGAUGACCAAACAUCUCCACCUUGGUCUCAACAGUCCAAAGGAUAUAGUUCCAAAACUUUUGUAGUUUGUUCAGAUGCAAUUUUGCAAACCUAAGUCAUGCUGUCAUAAUCUUCUUGGAGAGAAGAGGAUUUUUUCUGAUUGUGCUGUCAUGAACAUAAACAUUUAUUGCACUUACAGAGGCCUGUGGGUCACAUGAUGUCAGUCUUUUUUUUUUUUAAUAUCUCUGAGCAUUAAACAGUCUGACCUUGGACUGAAUUUUAUGGGAAGUUUGGCAACUGUCUUGAAGGCUCUCCAUUUGUAAACAGAAUUUCAAAUUGUUUGGAGAUGGCCUUAUAACCCUUCCCAGACUGAAGAGCAGCAACAGUUGCUUCUAUGAGGUCAUGGCUGAUGUUCUUUCUUCUUGGCAUGAUGUAGACACACACCUGAGUGAUCCAGAACACCAAACUAACAAAGGGUCUGCUUUUAUAGAGAUAUCUGCAGUCUACUGUCUGUGUGGAGUUUCACAUUUUCUUCUCCUGACCAUGUGACCAGGUUCUCCGCUUUCCUCCCCCCUUCCCAAAAGCAUACGGGUAGGUGCAUUGGCUAUGCUAAAUCGUCCCUGGGUGUGAAUGUGUUUGUGCAUGGUGCUCAGUGAUGGACUGGUGUCUGAUCCAGGGUAAAUUCCACCUCACACUCAGUCUUCCUGGAAAAGGCUCUGGAUCCAUCAUAACCCUGACCAGGAUGAGAUGAAUGAAUGAAUGGCCAUUUCCAAUCUUUCUUUAUCCAUCCGAAUUAACAGGCUAAUUGUUUUACUGUGGCUUUAUGACUAUUUGUAAGCUAUAUGUAAAUGAACUGAAAUGCCUCAUAACUGAAAUGAGGUACACCAAGCCCCCAUCUGUAACACCUACGGAACUGUGUAGGAAAAUCUGAGAGAUUAGCAAAUACUUCUACUCAAAUGCAGCCUUAUAUAUGUUUAAUCCAAAAAUAUUAGCAAAUUUUAGUCCAAGACAAAAGCUAGCAGCUCUGACAUUACUCUAAUACUACAACAAUGAGUUUUAUCAUUUUCAGCAUAGUUAACUAGUUCAAACUUGUUAAAAUGAUUGAAAAACAGGUGAAUAUUAAUUUUAUUGUUCGGGAAUUGAUGACUAGCUAUAUAAUUAACUAGUGAUGGCUUUUCCAGCUUUGUUGAAAAAUGGGUCAUUUCUCCCAGGCUUCAGGUGUUCACUAGAGUCCUCCAGUGGUUAAAAAAAUAUAGGCUCGUAUACCAUAUAAAACUGCUUUUUGGUGACACCACAGCAAAGAGAAUUCUCGAAAGUGUAUCAUAGCAUAGACAUGAACUUUCAGUUUUUUGCACUAUUACCUCUUAAAUUGUAUCACUCAAUUUGCACUCUUCAUUCCAUGUGCAAUCUGAAUUGUGCAAUACCUUUUCUCUCACCCAUGUGAAAUCUCUCCCUAAGUUGCUGUCUUGUAUGUUGUCCCUGUUCAUUUAUUGUAUGCAUUUACGUUAACAAUUUCACUCUUUAUUCUGGUAACAUUUGACAAUAACGCAAACUCAAUCGUAUAAUCCUAUUAAUUGCAAGUUGCUGUCAUUGAUGUAAUAAUGUGUGGAAGAUUAAAAUCCACUAAAGAACAGUGUGCUUCUGAA